ACAGCACAAUAAUAUUUGUCAUUGUCGUGUUUUCCACAGAUCUGGAGAAGGCGGAAAUAACCUGCCUGAGAGAGUGGUGGGCCUCUCACCACCAUGAACUUUUGUCAUGGGUGCAACAGAGGGACCCCUCUCAACAGGUGGCCCAACCACCAAGGGUGCAGGACAGUGCCAGGGUGCAGGACACUGUCAGGGUGCAGGACACUGUCAGGGUGCAGGACAGUGCCAGGGUGCAGGACAGUGCCAGGUUGCAGGGUGGCCGUGAUCAUCCCACCAAAAGAAGUAAUCCAUCACCCAGUGGGUCGACUACACCUGCUAAACGAGCAUAUAUGUCACCUCCUCCAUUUGACCUGGAGAGCCUCUCAAAGGCAGAGGGAGCAAUGUCGGCCAGUAACGAGUUAUGCAAGUCACUAUAUUGUUCUGUACUGCCUUCUCUCCUUCCUCCUCCGUUAUCCUUUUCUCCCUCCUCCUUUAUCCUUCCUCCUCCUUUAUCCUUCUCUCCCUCCUUUAUCCUUCUUCCUCCUUUACCUUUCCUUCCCUUCUCUAUUACAGUAGUAAACAACCUAACUGGUAAUAGGCAUUUGAUGACCUUUUCUGCUAUUCUUGGUCACACUGCCUAAACAUUAUUAUUGUAAGUUAAAACAAUUGUCACUCAACAUUUUCAGUGUCCCGGCCAUCGACCUGUGGGGAGGUGGGAGCCAGCGUUAACCAAGACCCCAGAGAAUAUGUAACAAGUGAGAGGAAGUAUUUGUUGUGGCAUCUGUGUGUUUGUUUACGUGGCAUUAAAACUCCCAGAAUGACCCCUAAGGAUCCUUACAAUACCAGCCACACUUGAUUUACUCUUUGUAUUGAUGUUACAUAAUGUUUUUCAGGUGUUACAGGGAACAUAGGGACGUGACAAUUGAACAAUUUUUAGACGCUGGUAAAGUGGGGGAGCUGUAUGAAAUAGCUGUAAAGAUAAAGAGCUUCAAUAUACUGAAGACACCACAUGCAGAUGAAGCAGCUACGAGGGACUGCAGGUCCUUAGAGGGUCGGCACGAGUACAGUCAUACCACAAGAUGCCAUUGAACUGGAAUUUGCAGAAAUUUGGUCCGAGACAAAAAUGAAAGCUAAUCUGGGUGGAGAGGAAUUGAGACGAUUCUUUGCUCUGCCUACAGCUUAUUCGUGGGAACAAGAUGGACUUGACCGUCAACUGUCGAACAUAUUGAACUCACUGAAGGAAUCUCAAGAGUAUUACUUCUUUGGAGUAAGAAAGAACUCGACCGAUGACGGUAAAAUUUUCUUCGAAAUCACACGGACGGCAGUACAACUCUUGUCCAUGUAGUGAUGAUUGUCUCACUUACAUUACUUGUAUUAUUAUUAUUUUUAUUAACCAUUCCUAGUUGAUUUAGUACCAUAAGCUGUUGAAGCCCAGUCUUGUACAGAAGUAAACGUUAAUAGUUUA
Molecule: long non-coding RNA, 1441 nt
Organism: Homarus americanus (American lobster)
Lineage: Eukaryota; Metazoa; Arthropoda; Malacostraca; Decapoda; Nephropidae
Exons: 5
Source: RefSeq, a predicted model, not a curated record